RNAcentral lists this unclassified non-coding RNA (105 nucleotides) under Kaistella antarctica. Its description in RNAcentral is "Chryseobacterium antarcticum Flavo-1 RNA". The record is from RNAcentral. Lineage: Bacteria; Pseudomonadati; Bacteroidota; Flavobacteriia; Flavobacteriales; Weeksellaceae.
CCCGGAUUGAACGGUUUGUUUGAGCUCUUUUUUUGCUGAACGAAUUUUUAAUUCAGUGCGACAAUUACUUGCAAAAAAAAGCGAGCCGUGAAAGCCGGAAAUGUG